This 1279-nucleotide ribosomal RNA is filed under the name Parapercis haackei. Its description in RNAcentral is "partial 16S ribosomal RNA". It matches the Rfam family "Bacterial large subunit ribosomal RNA", at positions 600 to 2563 of the family's 2925-position model. The record is from RNAcentral. Lineage: Eukaryota; Metazoa; Chordata; Actinopteri; Uranoscopiformes; Pinguipedidae.
UGUACCUUUUGCAUCAUGACUUAGCCAGUCUCAGUCAAGCAAAAGGAAUUUUAGUUUGACACCCCGAAACUAUGUGAGCUACUCCAAGACAGCCUUCAAAUAGGGCCAACCCGUAUCUGUGGCAAAAGAUUGGGAAGAACUUCGAGUAGAGGUGACAGACCUACCGAACUUAGUUAUAGCUGGUUGCCUAGGAAAUGAAUAGAAGUUCAGCCUUUUGGCUUCUUUCUCUGAACAAAAUAGAGAUUAAAUAUAACACCAAAAGAAACCAAAAGAGUUAUUUGAGGGAGGGACAGCUCCCCCAAAAUAAGAUACAACUUUUUAAGGUGGUAAAAGAUCAUAUUAAAGUCAAGGCCUAAGUGUCUUAGUGGGCUUAAGAGCAGCCAUCUUUUCAGAAAGCGUUAAAACUCAAACAUUUUAAUUUCCACCGAUCCGGAUAACUUAUUCUUUCACCCCUAAUUUUACUAAGCCUCUUCAUGCAUGCAUGAAGGUGAUCCUGCUAAGAUGAGUAAUAAGAGAGACCUCCACCUCUCUCCAUUACACAAGUGUAAAUCGAAAUGGACCCCCCACCGAUAAUUAACGGCCCCAACUUAAGAGGGCACUGGCGACUCUAAAUUAAACAUCAAGAAGAUUACCCAACCCUACACCGUUAACCCUACACUGGUGUGUUAAAAGGAAAGACUAAAAGGAAAAGAAGGAACUCGGCAAACAUUUUUAGCCUCGCCUGUUUACCAAAAACAUCGCCUCUUGCAAGAUAAAAAAAUAAGAGGUCCUGCCUGCCCUGUGACUAAAUGUUUAACGGCCGCGGUAUUUUGACCGUGCGAAGGUAGCGCAAUCACUUGUCUUUUAAAUGAAGACCCGUAUGAAUGGCUUAACGAGGGCUAAGCUGUCUCCUUUUCCCAGUCAAUGAAAUUGAUUUCCCCGUGCAGAAGCGGGGAUAAAACCAUAAGACGAGAAGACCCUAUGGAGCUUUAGACACUAACACAGCUCAACUAAACCCUCCCUUAUAAACAGGGCCCUAUCUUAUGAUCCUGUCCUAAUGUCUUUGGUUGGGGCGACCACGGGGAACUACUUAACCCCCACGUAGGCUGGGAGGACACCUCCUGAAAACAAGAGACCCCCCUCUAAUCAUCAGAACUUCUGACUUAAAAUGAUCCGGUAAAACCGAUCAACGAACCGAGUUACCCUAGGGAUAACAGCGCAAUCCCCUUCUAGAGUCCUUAUCGACAAGGGGGUUUACGACCUCGAUGUUGGAUCAGGACAUCCUAAUGGUGCAGCAGCU